RNAcentral lists this ribosomal RNA (433 nucleotides) under uncultured bacterium. Its description in RNAcentral is "partial 16S ribosomal RNA". It matches the Rfam family "Bacterial small subunit ribosomal RNA", at positions 29 to 507 of the family's 1533-position model. The record is from RNAcentral.
AACGAACGCUGGCGGCAUGCCUAACACAUGCAAGUCGAACGAGACCUUCGGGUCUAGUGGCGCACGGGUGCGUAACGCGUGGGAACCUGCCCUUAGGUUCGGAAUAACUCCCCGAAAGGGGUGCUAAUACCGGAUAAUGUCUUCGGACCAAAGAUUUAUCGCCUUUGGAUGGGCCCGCGUUGGAUUAGCUUGUUGGUAGGGUAAAAGCCUACCAAGGCGACGAUCCAUAGCUGGUCAGAGAGGAUGAUCAGCCACACUUGGACUGAGACACGGCCGAGACUCCUACGGGAUGGAGCAGUGGGGAAUAUUGGAAAAUGGGCGAAAUGCUGAUCCAGCAAUGCCGGGUGAGUGAUGAAGGUCUUAGAGUAGUAAAGCUCUUUUAACCGGGAUGAUAAUGACAGUACCGGGAGAAUAAGCUCCGGCUAACUCCGUG